GAUGAACGCUGGCGGCGUGCUUAACACAUGCAAGUCGAACGAAGCACUUUAUUUGAUUUCCUUCGGGACUGAUUAUUUUGUGACUGAGUGGCGGACGGGUGAGUAACGCGUGGGUAACCUGCCUUGUACAGGGGGAUAACAGUUGGAAACUGCUGCUAAUACCGCAUAAGCGCACGGCAUCGCAUGAUGCAGUGUGAAAAACUCCGGUGGUAUAAGAUGGACCCGCGUUGGAUUAGCUAGUUGGUGAGGUAACGGCCCACCAAGGCGACGAUCCAUAGCCGGCCUGAGAGGGUGGCCGGCCACUGUGGGACUGAGACACGGCCCGAACUACUACGGGAGGCAGCAGUGGGGAAUAUUGCACAAUGGGCGAAAGCCUGAUGCAGCGAGGCCGCGUGAGCGAAGAAGUAUUUCGGUAUGUAAAGCUCUAUCAGCAGGGAAGAUAAUGACGGUACCUGACGAAGAAGCACCGGCUAAAUACGUG
This 481-nucleotide ribosomal RNA is filed under the name uncultured bacterium. RNAcentral describes it as "partial 16S ribosomal RNA". It matches the Rfam family "Bacterial small subunit ribosomal RNA", at positions 28 to 507 of the family's 1533-position model. The record is from RNAcentral.